UAAUCCGGAACCGGCUAACCGGAUAACAUAACGCAUGGUUCGAAAUUGAAAGGCGGCUUCGGCUGUCAUUAUGGAGGCCGCGUGCAUUAGUAGUUGGUGAGGAACGGCUCCCAAGGCAACGAUGCGUAGCCGACCUGAGAGGGUGAUCGGCCACACUGGGACUGAGACACGGCCCAGACUCACGGGAGGCAGCAGUAGGGAAUCUUCCCAAUGGACGAAAUGACGGAGCAACGCCGCGUGAGUGAGAAGGCUUUCGGGUCGUAAAACUCUGUUGUUAGGGAAGAACAAGUGCUAGUUGAAUAAGUGGCACCUUGACGGUACCUAACCAGAAAGCCACGGCUAACUACGUGCCAGCAGCCGCGGUAAUACGUAGGUGGCAAGCGUUAUCCGGAAUUAUUGGGCGUAAAGCGCGCGCAGGUGGUUUCUUAAGUCUGAUGUGAAAGCCCACGGCACCGUGGAGGGUCUAAACUGGAGACUUGAGUGCAGAAGAGGAAAGUGGAAUUCCAUGUGAGCGGUAAAUGCGUAGAGAUAGGAGGAACACCAGUGCGACUUCUGAACACAA
RNAcentral lists this ribosomal RNA (562 nucleotides) under Bacillus cereus. RNAcentral's name for it is "bacterial SSU rRNA". It matches the Rfam family "Bacterial small subunit ribosomal RNA", at positions 146 to 739 of the family's 1533-position model. Lineage: Bacteria; Bacillati; Bacillota; Bacilli; Caryophanales; Bacillaceae. The record is from RNAcentral.